Molecule: ribosomal RNA, 473 nt
Filed under: uncultured bacterium
Lineage: Bacteria
Description: SSU rRNA
Rfam family: Bacterial small subunit ribosomal RNA
Source: RNAcentral
AGGAUAAACGCUGGCGGCGUGCCUAACACAUGCAAGUCGAACGUCUCUUCUUUCGGGAAGAGGAGUGGCGGACGGGUGAGGAACACGUGGGAACCUGCCCUUCAGUGAGGAAUACCGGCGAGAAAUCGCCGACAAGACCGCAUAGCCCUCUCUGGUGAGAGCCAGAGAAGGAAAGCCUCGCAAGAGGCGCUGGAGGAGGGGCCUGCGUCCGAUUAGCUAGUUGGUGGGGUAAGAGCCUACCAAGGCGUCGAUCGGUAGCUGGUCUGAGAGGACGAUCAGCCACACUGGGAUUGAGAACGGCCCAGACUCCUACGGGGGGCAGCAGUGAGGAAUUUUCGGCAAUGGGGGAAACCCUGACCGAGCAACGCCGCGUGCAGGAAGACGGCCUUCGGGUUGUAACUGCUUUCUUUGGGUACGAGCAAGGACGGUACCGAGAGGAAGUCAGCCCGGCCUCACUACGUGCCAGCAGCCGC